Larimichthys crocea (large yellow croaker) is the source of this 1579-nucleotide long non-coding RNA. RefSeq lists it as uncharacterized. The record is from RefSeq and is a predicted model, not a curated record. The transcript is spliced from 3 exons. Lineage: Eukaryota; Metazoa; Chordata; Actinopteri; Sciaenidae.
UGUUUCAGUGUCAGUUUCAAGUUGUUUCAAGCGCUCGGCAACAUUCUAGCGUUUAGUCCAAGUGCUUUUUGAAUCUUUUCUUUGUUUUUUUCUGACCUUAUCUUGGACUUUUGAUGUCUGCCUUCCUCACCACCCUAUUUACUGACCUGAGGUGACUUUGGCUUGAUUGAAGUGAGAAAUGCAGCCAUAACCACCAUGGCCACAGUGAGGAGACCACACCACACCUGCAGCAGCAGGACAGCAGUUAGCAUACAGGACUCUCUGUGGAAAGACCAGUGAUCCUUGCUGAAGUGAGGAGAAGGAGACGGGCCUAGAUCUAAGCAACCAGUAGCAGAAAAGACGAUACAAGUAAUCCCCAGUAAGAUGGAGAAGCUAACAGAGGGAGUAUCGAGUGUGUAGCAUCACUGAGACAUGGUUGAAUGAACUCACUUCGGACUCGCUGGUAACUCUGGACAGUAUUCUACUUGUAACAGACAGCAAAGGAAACCUCCAUGGACCACAGGCCAGAGUUCAAACCGGGUCACUGCAGGAAGGACUCAUACCUGGGACUCUACCAGUUGGGCAACCAGGGCGCCCCUAAUUAUGAGUAUUUUUCUUAUCCACCUUGUACAUUGUGAGCUGUUGUAACAUGUGAAUUUCCCCAGUGUGGGGUUAAUAAAGUAUCUUAUCUCGGAGGAGAACCUGCUCCCUCUGUGCAUAUAAAGGACUCAUCUGUUUGGCAUUUCCACUACAGACACUACUGCAGACCCUACUCUCUGGGUUGUUGUCGGGGCUUCAGGCCUAACCUCUUAAUUUUUCCAACAAUUAGGCAAAAACAGAUGAGAAUCUUCUGCAUUUUUUAACUGAUGCAUACAUUCACUGCCAGAUUUACAACUUAAUGCUCGUGUUUUCCACUGCGCUGUGCCUUCACAGCUCACCUACACACAAAAUACAUGUCGUUUACUAGGCUGCAACAGGCUGCAGCGAGAAAGACAAAACGCCGGUGAAACAAACACAAGUGUUUUGGAAAUUCUACAUCAGACAGGACGAGACAGCUCUGUGGUUAGCAGUGUUUCUAUAGCUGCACCUCCUUGUCCCGGUUCAGCUUGUGGUUCUAUUGGUACCAUCUAGAGGUUUUGAUAAUGGAAAUGGAAAAAAUGUGCAACAAACUAACCUGAACUGAACUAAAUUACUUAGUGGAAACAGGGUUUUAAAUCGUAUACACUGGACCUUUAAGUUACUGUGUCAGGCCCUAACAUUACUGAUUUCACAAAGAACAAAGAUUGUCCUCUCCUUGACUUGCCCUCAUUAAUCAAACUACAACCUCUUAGUCUUAUAUUGUGACCCUUAGGAGGGUCCCGACCCCCAGUUUGUGAAACAUUGGACCAUAUGGAUAUAUGUAAUAUGUCAUAGGAACCAGUUUUCUACACAUCUCAUACUAGUUUUGGAGAAUGUUGCUUUGACCUUAUUAUCGCCUGCAUCAUAUCAAAUAUGCACACAUUAUGUGUGUUAUAAAACCUUUAAAUUUCCUUUUGACUUUACUUUCUUCUUGUUCAGACUUUCAGUUGUUGGAAUUUAAAGUAGUGUGGGUGUAUUUGCA